This 1219-nucleotide long non-coding RNA is filed under the name Homo sapiens (human). RNAcentral's name for it is "HSALNT0354081". The record is from RNAcentral. Lineage: Eukaryota; Metazoa; Chordata; Mammalia; Primates; Hominidae.
ACUAUUGUACACCAACAAACUACUGUUCCCAUGCAAACUCAGGAGAGACUUGCCACCAACAGCUGGUGUCCUUCACAGCUGUUGACUUCCAUACUGUUUUAAGACCUGUCAUUCUCAGAUAACUUAGACAUUUCAGAGGCAGAUAUGUACUUCCUUCUGAGACUAUGGCUUUUAAAUCUUUGUUAGUGUAAAAUGUCCUUCACAGACACAAUCUUACAUAGAACUCAAAUAUUAGAAACAUGCUGAAGUGGAGGUACCCUAGGAGAAGCAGUGAAGAAAAAACACACAGGUUGCCUCCUGGUCCCACCUCAUACCAUCUUUAAGGCUCUCUCUCAGAAGGCUAGCCCUCUGCAGAACCCAAUUUGAGGACUCCUGCUCUAGACUAUCUGUAGAACAAGCCACAUCACAUACAAUUGCCCAUAUUCUCUGAGACAUAUGAUGGAAAAAUGGUAGACUGCAGAAUCUGCCUUUUAGCAAAAAGCAUGCUGGUGUGUAUUGGCACAUCAUCUAACAGGAAUUCCCCUAGGACACACCAACCUGAGGGGAGAGCUGAGUUGCCUUAUGAUGGGACUGUCAUACAUACUGCUGGCUUCCCCAGUUUCUCAGGUGGUAUGAUUUGGGGCAGUUACUUCACCUCUGAGCUUCCAUUUCCUCGUUUUUAAAGCACGGUGGCAAUACCUACCUCAGGGUGGUUGUAGAAAGAAAUAAUAUGGUGUAUGUGACUGGUGUGGCAUGCAGUAAGUGCUCAAAAAAGGUAGCUGGAGUGAAUUCAGUGUUAUGUACCCACCUCCUACACUUGGGGCAGAAUUGCUUAAAGUAACCCAACUGCGAACCUCCACGGACCAUCUAUCUACAUGGUGUCUGGGAGCCCCAUCCACCUACAGUGAGAGCUCAGUGGUUCUCAACCAGGGGUAAAUUUUCUACCAAGAGCACAUUUUUGGUCAUCACAACUGAAGGAGAAGGUGCUACAGGCAUUUGAUGAGUAGAGUAGAGGCCACUGAUGCUACUGAACAUGUUACAAUGCACAGGACAGCAUCCACAAUAAAAAAUUAUCUGGCCCCAAAUAUCAAUGGUGCUGAUGUUGACAAAUCCUACUUCAGCUUUGUAUUUUAUUUACUGAUUGUAUUUUCCUUGUUAAGUACCAAACAUCAGCUUUAGAAUCUGAUUGGCAAUAUGGAGGAAUGGAAGGAUCAUAAAAAUGAAUUGCAAACCAAAUGGU